RNAcentral lists this ribosomal RNA (381 nucleotides) under Salmonella enterica subsp. enterica serovar Montevideo. RNAcentral describes it as "bacterial SSU rRNA". It matches the Rfam family "Bacterial small subunit ribosomal RNA", at positions 64 to 447 of the family's 1533-position model. The record is from RNAcentral. Lineage: Bacteria; Pseudomonadati; Pseudomonadota; Gammaproteobacteria; Enterobacterales; Enterobacteriaceae.
UAACAGGAAGCAGCUUGCUGCUUUGCUGACGAGUGGCGGACGGGUGAGUAAUGUCUGGGAAACUGCCUGAUGGAGGGGGAUAACUACUGGAAACGGUGGCUAAUACCGCAUAACGUCGCAAGACCAAAGAGGGGGACCUUCGGGCCUCUUGCCAUCAGAUGUGCCCAGAUGGGAUUAGCUUGUUGGUGAGGUAACGGCUCACCAAGGCGACGAUCCCUAGCUGGUCUGAGAGGAUGACCAGCCACACUGGAACUGAGACACGGUCCAGACUCCUACGGGAGGCAGCAGUGGGGAAUAUUGCACAAUGGGCGCAAGCCUGAUGCAGCCAUGCCGCGUGUAUGAAGAAGGCCUUCGGGUUGUAAAGUACUUUCAGCGGGGAGG